RNAcentral lists this ribosomal RNA (432 nucleotides) under uncultured bacterium. RNAcentral describes it as "partial 16S ribosomal RNA". It matches the Rfam family "Bacterial small subunit ribosomal RNA", at positions 29 to 506 of the family's 1533-position model. The record is from RNAcentral.
AACGAACGCUGGCGGCAUGCCUAACACAUGCAAGUCGAACGAGACCUUCGGGUCUAGUGGCGCACGGGUGCGUAACGCGUGGGAACCUGCCCUUAGGUUCGGAAUAACUCCCCGAAAGGGGUGCUAAUACCGGAUAAUGUCUUCGGACCAAAGAUUUAUCGCCUUUGGAUGGGCCCGCGUUGGAUUAGCUAGUUGGUAGGGUAAAAGCCUACCAAGGCGACGAUCCAUAGCUGGUCUGAGAGGAUGAUCAGCCACACUGGGACUGAGACACGGCCCAGACUCCUCGGGGAGGCAGCAGUGGGGAAUAUUGGACAAUGGGCGAAAGCCUGAUCCAGCAAUGCCGGGGGAGUGAUGAAGGCCUUAGGGUUGUAAAGCUUUUUUACCCGGGAUGAUAAUGACAGUACCGGGAGAAUAAGCCCCGGCUAACUCCGU